UUUAAGGUGCGAGGAACUCUCGGCUUAUCCUGUUUUGAAGACUUAAAGCAAGACGAGGUCU
Molecule: small RNA, 61 nt
Filed under: Arabidopsis thaliana (thale cress)
Lineage: Eukaryota; Viridiplantae; Streptophyta; Magnoliopsida; Brassicales; Brassicaceae
Description: ATSL261970
Source: RNAcentral